This 1704-nucleotide long non-coding RNA is filed under the name Anser brachyrhynchus (Pink-footed goose). RNAcentral's name for it is "lncRNA (ENSABRG00000003138.1)". Lineage: Eukaryota; Metazoa; Chordata; Aves; Anseriformes; Anatidae. The record is from RNAcentral.
GUGCCCUGAGGGGAAUCUGCUAUGGAUUUGCUCUAUUUGUGCAGGGUAGAAGGAGUUAGCCCAGAAAUCUCACUAGAACCACUGUCAUGCAGGUGCAGAGGCAGCUGUGUGCAGUGAACCACCUGGGAAAGGGUGGCAACAGUGACGAUCACAUUGGUGACAGCCACGUCAGGGAGGUGAGAAUUAAUAGACCAGUUAAAUUGGGGCUGGGGAACAUGCCCUGUGGCAGCUUUUCUGGGACCUUCUGCUUCUCUAGACCUCAAGUGAGUUCAGGAAUUCAUCCGAGAUGGUUCCCCAUACAGCCUCCAGGUCUUCUGCAGGUCAGCUGGAUGGAUGCAAGUCCUUAUUGUGUGGGGGAAGCACAGGGAUAGGAAAGCGCCAAGUGUUUCCCACCUGUUUGGUACCUCAGUUGGGAAUUUGUGUGUCAGCAUGUGCCUGGGGCAUGGUGAAGAGCAGGGAUGGACAAAGCAGUGUCCCAUUGCUGCUCCUUGUGAGCCAGGCUGCUCUACACCUUGAUGUUCAUCCACACAUAGUCACCGUGAUCUUACGACGAUUGGGCACGUGCGUGGGAACAAUGGCUUUGUGCAUUCGGUUGCUCACCAGCUUUUUUCAGGAGGUGAAGGCUGAAAGCACUUUCAGAUACACUUGAAAGCUGAACAGGGUCCUCUAUUUCCAGUCUGUGAGGGAGGGCAUGACAGUCUUUUACGAACAAGCUGGGAGCAAACAAACGAUGAGUGAGAUGCCGAUGUGCAUCGGUGUUACAAAUUGCAUGCUUCACCUGCCAUCAAACGGAAAGCCAAAGCAGCCAAACCAGAAGAGAUGGGAGCUCAGGGUGUUCUGCCUCCACUGAAUCCAGCCCAUCCAUGUUCUCACUUGACACUGAGUUACAGGGUGAAGGAAUACAUACCGCUGCUGUAAGACUCGUGCUAGAAAGGAUGCUUUCUGCAGACUACUUUUUUCCGAGAAGUCCCUUGGCUUAUUUUAAGUUGAGAAAAGCUUUGGAAAAAGCAGUGGCUCCACUUCACAGCCUCAGAGCUGGCCUCUUUCCAGCCAGUACUCAAAGAGCACCCUUAGCACUGCUGAUGGCCUCGGUGCAGGCAGAGGGCACAGAUUCAAUGGUGCCAUCUCUGAGCCGUCACUUACAUGAAAAACCAGGCUGGAAAACAUCCCAGAUUUUGCAUCUGUUCUUCUAACAGAGCUGAUGGGCUGAAGGAGGAGAAAGCGUGGCAGAGAAAUGUCAUCCACUCCCUAGAAAACCGUGGCUAGCUCACCCCGCAAAAGCCUGGUUUCCACCAACUUAAGGUCACCAAAAAUGGAGCGUCCGUGUCUCCUGCACCUUCCAGGGUUGUACCAUUCAUUCUUACACAGAGAAAAGCUUGGAAACAUCACACAAGUAAAUCCUGAAAGUCAGAAACCCUGUGGAAACCCUAGUCCCUGUUAUCUUUUGGUUGUUCUUUUUUUCUUUUUUUUUUUUUUAAAAAAAAACUUCUUACUCUUCAUAGCUAAUCUUAUGAUGGUUUAAAAAUCUGAUGGGUUUGUCUGUGUGUUUGGCGCUGGCAAUAUCCCAUUGGACAUAAUGUGAAAGUGACCCACGUAGAGCUGGUCAGUCUUUUCUUCUGCAGAAAAUAUUAACGAAAAAUCAAACUGUAAAAAUGCUCUAACUUCUUUUCAAAUAAAAUUUCCAUGGAGAGUACUGAACCUUCA